This 650-nucleotide ribosomal RNA is filed under the name uncultured bacterium. Its description in RNAcentral is "bacterial SSU rRNA". It matches the Rfam family "Bacterial small subunit ribosomal RNA", at positions 64 to 708 of the family's 1533-position model. The record is from RNAcentral.
ACACUAAUUGGAACCGGCCUCGGUCUGGUGGCGAGUGGCGAACGGGUGAGUAAUGUAUCGGAACGUGCCCAGUAGCGGGAGAAACUACGCGAAAGCGUAGCUAAUACCGCAUACGCCCUACGGGGGAAAGCAGGGGAUCGUAAGACCUUGCACUAUUGGAGCGGCCGAUAUCGGAUUAGCUAGUUGGUGGGGUAAUGGCUCACCAAGGCGACGAUCCGUAGCUGGUUUGAGAGGACGACCAGCCACACUGGGACUGAGACACGGCCCAGACUCCUACGGGAGGCAGCAGUGGGGAAUUUUGGACAAUGGGGGAAACCCUGAUCCAGCCAUCCCGCGUGUGCGAUGAAGGCCUUCGGGUUGUAAAGCACUUUUGGCAGGAAAGAAACGUCAUGGGUUAAUACCCCGUGAAACUGACGGUACCUGCAGAAUAAGCACCGGCUAACUACGUGCCAGCAGCCGCGGUAAUACGUAGGGUGCAAGCGUUAAUCGGAAUUACUGGGCGUAAAGCGUGCGCAGGCGGUUCGGAAAGAAAGAUGUGAAAUCCCAGAGCUUAACUUUGGAACUGCAUUUUUAACUACCGGGCUAGAGUGUGUCAGAGGGAGGUGGAAUUCCGCGUGUAGCAGUGAAAUGCGUAGAUAUGCGGAGGAACA